GAUGAACGCUGGCGGCGUGCCUAAUACAUGCAAGUCGGGCGAACAGAUAAGGAGCUUGCUCCUUUGACGUUAGCGGCGGACGGGUGAGUAACACGUGGGUAACCUACCUAUAAGACUGGAAUAACUCCGGGAAACCGGGGCUAAUGCCGGAUAACAUUUAGAACCGCAUGGUUCUAAAGUGAAAGAUGGUUUUGCUAUCACUUAUAGAUGGACCCGCGCCGUAUUAGCUAGUUGGUAAGGUAACGGCUUACCAAGGCAACGAUACGUAGCCGACCUGAGAGGGUGAUCGGCCACACUGGAACUGAGACACGGUCCAGACUCCUACGGGAGGCAGCAGUAGGGAAUCUUCCGCAAUGGGCGAAAGCCUGACGGAGCAACGCCGCGUGAGUGAUGAAGGUCUUCGGAUCGUAAAACUCUGUUAUUAGGGAAGAACAAAUGUGUAAGUAACUGUGCACGUCUUGACGGUACCUAAUCAGAAAGCCACGGCUAACUACGUG
Molecule: ribosomal RNA, 497 nt
Filed under: uncultured bacterium
Lineage: Bacteria
Description: partial 16S ribosomal RNA
Rfam family: Bacterial small subunit ribosomal RNA
Source: RNAcentral